This 399-nucleotide ribosomal RNA is filed under the name uncultured bacterium. RNAcentral describes it as "bacterial SSU rRNA". It matches the Rfam family "Bacterial small subunit ribosomal RNA", at positions 362 to 759 of the family's 1533-position model. The record is from RNAcentral.
ACGUGACUGGGCGAAGCCUGACCGCAAUGCCGCGUGCAGGAAGAAGGCCUUCGGGUUGUAAACUGCUUUUGUACGGAACGAAACGGCCUUUUCUAAUAAAGAGGGCUAAUGACGGUACCGUAAGAAUAAGCACCGGCUAACUACGUGCCAGCAGCCGCGGUAAUACGUAGGGUGCGAGCGUUAAUCGGAAUUACUGGGCGUAAAGCGUGCGCAGGCGGUUCUAUAAGACAGAUGUGAAAUCCCCGGGCUCAACCUGGGAAUGGCAUUUGUGACUGUAGAGCUAGAGUACGGUAGAGGGGGAUGGAAUUCCGCGUGUAGCAGUGAAAUGCGUAGAUAUGCGGAGGAACACCGAUGGCGAAGGCAAUCCCCUGGACCUGUACUGACGCUCAUGCACGAAAG